CUGGCGAAGAAAUUUGGGACAAGAAACUAGAGUUAACUCGCCAUUCAUCGAGAGACAGAAGGGGAACCAACCGCACGCGUCGUUAGAUGUAACAAAUGCAACACGGUCGAGAAGGGUGCACAGAGGGAAGAAGGUAAACGAGCGUCCGAAUGCGUGAGUGUGGCCAGGAAAAAAGGUCGCCAACUUAACGAGGGCUGGACCAGCCGGAACCAGAGAUGAAUUCUUGCAUGCCUUCCAUUGAAACACCCUGCCGGAAAUUACACUUUUUACUUUUCCCCACCUCUGCGAAAUUGAGUGGGUGCCUAGAGCCUGAUGAGAAGCAUCCGCAAGGAAAGCCAACGUGCAACGCGAACUCCGCCCGCUGAAUGUUUAAAUGCACGGCAGGACUUUAUCUCGGAAUUGUACCCAGCAAGGGAUGAAAUCUGCGGCUGCCGGCAGCCAACACCAGCCACCCGGAAAUCUGCGUGAUUAAGUGCACCCUUCGUUGGACGAUAAUUGCUCUACAAAUACGCGAAAUUUAUUGCGAAUUCACCACUAGACACCGUGGACACGUCCCUUUUGCAACCUACCACGAAUUUCCCCGGAUCGACUACAUCUGACGGUCAAGUUAAAUAA
Long non-coding RNA from Bombus pascuorum, 615 nucleotides. RefSeq lists it as uncharacterized. The record is from RefSeq and is a predicted model, not a curated record. The transcript is spliced from 3 exons. Lineage: Eukaryota; Metazoa; Arthropoda; Insecta; Hymenoptera; Apidae.